This is a small nucleolar RNA of Polyodon spathula (Mississippi paddlefish), 69 nucleotides long. The record is from RefSeq and is a predicted model, not a curated record. Lineage: Eukaryota; Metazoa; Chordata; Actinopteri; Acipenseriformes; Polyodontidae.
CUGGAAGUGAUGGACAAGUUCAAGCUUGAUGCACAGUGAUAGCUUCAGUAUUCAUACUGUCUGAUCUAG